CAAACAAGUAGAGUUUUACCAGUUGCAUAUAUUGAUAUGAAGAUAAAAAAAUAAAAAAUAAAAAUAAAAACUCUUUGGUAUUCCAAUAAAAUGAAACCAAUGCAUGGAAAGAGGUUAGAUUUACAUAAAAGUGGGUCAAUUCUGGCAGGCUUCUAUGUUUCUUCUUUGGCAACAAAAAACCCCACUGAACUUUCAAGACAAAAUAUAAAAUAAAAAAGUCAAUGUUCUAUCAAACCAGCACAUAACAACUCAUCAACCAAUGUUUAUAAUAAUAAAAAAUAGUGUGAGGAAAAUUGGGAUUAUUAGUUGUGAAGGAAUCCAAUGGAUGGUACAAGACAAAUUGGCUUGAGCUUUGUGGCAUAAGACCCAUCUAUAGAUAUUUUAGUGCCCUUGUGUCUCUCUUU
RNAcentral lists this long non-coding RNA (404 nucleotides) under Physcomitrium patens. RNAcentral's name for it is "long non-coding RNA (PPAT_LNC012406)". The record is from RNAcentral. Lineage: Eukaryota; Viridiplantae; Streptophyta; Bryopsida; Funariales; Funariaceae.